Parus major (Great Tit) is the source of this 1843-nucleotide long non-coding RNA. NCBI's taxonomy places the organism in Eukaryota, Metazoa, Chordata, Aves, Passeriformes, Paridae. The record is from Ensembl.
UGUGUGGCCUUUCUGCAGAGCUUUCCCAAUCCCUGUGAGUGCCCCAGGCCAGGCUGGACCAGCCUUGGAGCCCCCCGGGCCAGUGGGAGCUGUCCCUGCCGUGGCAGGGGUGGCACUGGGUGCUUUUUAAUCUUCUGCCCACCCAAAUCAUUCCAUGAUUCCUGUAAACGCUCUGGGAGCUGAUUUUCCAGCUGCUGUUGAAGCUGAUUUUCCAGCUGCCCAUCCAACCAUGGGUGCUCACAGGGAUCCAGGGGCAGCCCCAGCUGCUCUGGGGCCUCCUCAUCCUCCCAGGGCAGGAUUUCUUCUGAGAGAAAAGCUUUUUCAGGCUUUUUCUCCUGAGCUCCUGCUCUCCUGAGCUCCUGCUCUCCUGAGCUCCUGCUCUCCUGCUCUCCUCAGCUCCUCUCCUGAGCUCCUCUCCUGAGCUCCUGCUGCCCUGAGCUGCUGCUCUUCUGAGCUCCUGCUGUCCUGAGCUGAUGCUCUCCUCAGCUCCUCUCCUGAGCUCCUGCUCUCCUGAGCUGAUGCUCUUCUGAGCUGAUGCUCUCCUGCUCUCCUCAGCUCCUGCUCUCCUCAGCUCCUGCUCUCCUCAGCUCCUGCUCUCCUGCUGUCCUGACCUGCUGCUCUCCACAUUUCCAGCUGAACUCGACUCAUCCCCGUUCCUGCCCCGUUGUUUCUCCGCGCUGGCAGCGCUCAGCAGCCUCCCCAUCACCCAAACCCCUGUCUCCCCAGCAGGGUACUCACAGCAUGGCGAUGCCCCAGUGCUUGCCAGCUCUCUCCCCAGCAGCCUGGAAGCCCGAGAGGCCGAUGAGGGCCACGGUGGGGGUGAUGGUCAGGGGGCCGAUGUAGCGCAGCAGAGCCCCGGGCAGCCCCAGCAGCCCGAUCACCACCUCGAUCAGCGACGACAUGAUGAUGGCACCUUGGAUCUGAACACACAACAGGGCAGAGAGGCAGCUCAGUCCCACCUGACAGGAAAUCUGCUUUUCUGCUCUGGAUUACAAACUGCAGUUAAAAGAAUUCAGUGACACAGAAGAACUCAGCAAAAAAAAAAAAAAUUUUUUUUUUUUUAGUUUUUUUUUUUCCCGUCAUAAAACAGCUCAUUAUGUUUAAGUGACUUAAGCAUAACACUUAUGGUUUUCUCCACAAAACUAUUACACAACAGACCAGUGGGGCCAGUCUGGAAGCUGUGUGGAAAGCACAUCACACUGUCAGACAGGAGACCUGGGGUCCAGGCUAACCUUUCAGCUCUCAGAUCGAACGGCAAGGGUUGGUGCGCCACGAGGUGAUGCUCCUAGCUCCUAGGGGCAGAGUGUGUGCUGCAUUGGUCACAAGUGCUCCUUAGAAGCUGGAUUAGAGCAGCGUUGUGGUCUCAGGAGACUGUCAGCCCUCUUGGCUGCAGGGCUCUUGGCAGGAUGUAGCUAUGGUUUGAACAUGGGGAAGAGAGAGGGGUUGUUUUUAAUUAAGAAAAAGUUGGCAGCCCAAAGCAACGGGAUGGGAGAUCAAUUCCAUGACACACGCCUUCAUUUGGACUACUCUACCUGCCACCCUGGCGUGGCACAGCCCUCAGCCUGCCCUGCAGGGCACCACCACCUCACACUGCGAGUGGAGAACGACUUUCCAGGGAUUCCACAAAGUCUCAACGAGUCUCCAAAUUAAAGACACUUGGGAAGGAACCAGAUUCCCUAACUGCGGAUUCACCUUCCAGGGGCCAGCACAGCAGGCAAGAGGCCUGGCAGCAGCUGGACACAGAUGGAAAUGAGGAGUUUUCAUCUCACUGCAGCAGCUCACUGCACAGCUUUUUGGGAUGUGGGAACUAACUCCUGGUAUUUGCUGUCCAGCAGUGAACAGG